This 264-nucleotide ribosomal RNA is filed under the name uncultured bacterium. RNAcentral describes it as "partial 16S ribosomal RNA". It matches the Rfam family "Bacterial small subunit ribosomal RNA", at positions 89 to 354 of the family's 1533-position model. The record is from RNAcentral.
UGGCGACCGGCGCACGGGUGAGUAACACGUAUCCAACCUGCCUCAUACUCGGGGAUAGCCUUUCGAAAGAAAGAUUAAUAUCCGAUAGGAUAUCAAGGUCGCAUGAUCUUGAUAUUAAAGAAUUUCGGUUAUCGAUGGGGAUGCGUUCCAUUAGUUAGUUGGCGGGGUAACGGCCCACCAAGACGACGAUGGAUAGGGGUUCUGAGAGGAAGGUCCCCCACACUGGUACUGAGACACGGACCAGACUCCUACGGGAGGCAGCAG